UGCACUACUCCGGGGGUAGGAC
Molecule: microRNA, 22 nt
Filed under: Marek's disease virus serotype 2 MDV2
Lineage: Duplodnaviria; Heunggongvirae; Peploviricota; Herviviricetes; Herpesvirales; Orthoherpesviridae
Description: mdv2-miR-M25-3p
Gene: mdv2-miR-M25-3p
Source: miRBase by way of RNAcentral